UAGUGGCGAACGGGUGAGUAACACGUGGGCAAUCUGCCCUUCACUCUGGGACAAGCCCUGGAAACGGGGUCUAAUACCGGAUAACACCUGCCCGGGCAUCCGGGNGGGUUAAAAGCUCCGGCGGUGAAGGAUGAGCCCGCGGCCUAUCAGCUUGUUGGUGAGGUAGUGGCUCACCAAGGCGACGACGGGUAGCCGGCCUGAGAGGGCGACCGGCCACACUGGGACUGAGACACGGCCCAGACUCCUACGGGAGGCAGCAGUGGGGAAUAUUGCACAAUGGGCGAAAGCCUGAUGCAGCGACGCCGCGUGAGGGAUGACGGCCUUCGGGUUGUAAACCUCUUUCAGCAGGGAAGAAGCGAAAGUGACGGUACCUGCAGAAGAAGCGCCGGCUAACUACGUGCCAGCAGCCGCGGUAAUACGUAGGGCGCAAGCGUUGUCCGGAAUUAUUGGGCGUAAAGAGCUCGUAGGCGGCUUGUCACGUCGGGUGUGAAAGCCCGGGGCUUAACCCCGGGUCUGCAUUCGAUACGGGCUANCUAGAGUGUGGUAGGGGAAGAUCGGAAUUCCU
RNAcentral lists this ribosomal RNA (565 nucleotides) under Streptomyces sp. 322D06. Its description in RNAcentral is "bacterial SSU rRNA". It matches the Rfam family "Bacterial small subunit ribosomal RNA", at positions 93 to 671 of the family's 1533-position model. Lineage: Bacteria; Bacillati; Actinomycetota; Actinomycetes; Kitasatosporales; Streptomycetaceae. The record is from RNAcentral.